GCAGUGGGGAAUAUUGGGCAAUGGGCGAGAGCCUGAACCAGCCAAGUCGCGUGAGGGACGACGGUACUAAGUAUUGUAAACCUCUUUUGUCAGGGAACAAAGAGACCACGUGUGGUAAGAUGAGUGUACCUGAAGAAAAAGCAUCGGCUAACUCCGUGCCAGCAGCCGCGGUAAUACGUAGGGAGCAAGCGUUAUCCGGAUUUAUUGGGUGUAAAGGGUGCGUAGACGGGAAAUUAAGUUAGUUGUGAAAUCCCUCGGCUCAACUGAGGAACUGCAACUAAAACUGAUUUUCUUGAGUGCAGGAGAGGAAAGUGGAAUUCCUAGUGUAGCGGUGAAAUGCGUAGAUAUUAGGAGGAACACCAGUGGCGAAGGCGACUUUCUGGACAGUAACUGACGUUGAGGCACGAAAGUGUGGGGAGCAAACAGGAUUAGAUACCCCGGUAG
This 444-nucleotide ribosomal RNA is filed under the name Stenotrophomonas sp. SAM-B. Its description in RNAcentral is "bacterial SSU rRNA". It matches the Rfam family "Bacterial small subunit ribosomal RNA", at positions 351 to 793 of the family's 1533-position model. The record is from RNAcentral. Lineage: Bacteria; Pseudomonadati; Pseudomonadota; Gammaproteobacteria; Lysobacterales; Lysobacteraceae.